RNAcentral lists this transfer RNA (74 nucleotides) under Candidatus Nanopelagicales bacterium. Its description in RNAcentral is "tRNA-Val". It matches the Rfam family "tRNA". Rfam says of the family: Transfer RNA (tRNA) molecules are approximately 80 nucleotides in length. Their secondary structure includes four short double-helical elements and three loops (D, anti-codon, and T loops). The record is from RNAcentral. RNAcentral also lists the same sequence under 1 other name. Lineage: Bacteria; Bacillati; Actinomycetota; Actinomycetes; Candidatus Nanopelagicales.
GGUCGAUUGGCGCAGUUGGUUAGCGCGCUUCCUUGACAUGGAAGAGGCCAGGGGUUCGAGUCCCUUAUCGACCA